This 467-nucleotide ribosomal RNA is filed under the name uncultured bacterium. Its description in RNAcentral is "partial 16S ribosomal RNA". It matches the Rfam family "Bacterial small subunit ribosomal RNA", at positions 28 to 507 of the family's 1533-position model. The record is from RNAcentral.
GACGAACGCUGGCGGCGUGCUUAACACAUGCAAGUCGAACGGAAAGGCCCUGCUUUUGUGGGGUGCUCGAGUGGCGAACGGGUGAGUAACACGUGAGUAACCUGCCCUUGACUUUGGGAUAACUUCAGGAAACUGGGGCUAAUACCGGAUAGGAGCUCCUGCUGCAUGGUGGGGGUUGGAAAGUUUCGGCGGUUGGGGAUGGACUCGCGGCUUAUCAGCUUGUUGGUGGGGUAGUGGCUUACCAAGGCUUUGACGGGUAGCCGGCCUGAGAGGGUGACCGGCAAAAUGGGGACUGAGUUACGGCCCAGACUCCUACGGGAGGCAGAGGGGGGAAAUAUUGCACAAGGGGCGGAAGCCUGUUGCGGCAAGGCGGGGGGCGGGAUGACGGCCUUCGGGUGGUAAACCGCUUCGCCUGUGACGAAGCGUGAGUGACGGUAAUGGGUAAAGAAGCACCGGCUAACUACGUG